This 292-nucleotide ribosomal RNA is filed under the name uncultured bacterium. RNAcentral describes it as "partial 16S ribosomal RNA". It matches the Rfam family "Bacterial small subunit ribosomal RNA", at positions 505 to 796 of the family's 1533-position model. The record is from RNAcentral.
GUGCCAGCAGCCGCGGUAAGACGAACCGUGCGAACGUUGUUCGGAAUCACUGGGCAUAAAGGGCGCGUAGGCGGUCGACCAAGUCCGGGGUGAAAUCUUUCGGCUUAACCGGAAAAGUGCCUUGGAUACUGGCCGGCUGGAGGGAGGUAGGGGCAGGUGGAACUUCCAGUGGAGCGGUGAAAUGCGUUGAUAUUGGAAGGAACGCCGGUGGCGAAAGCGACCUGCUGGACCUCUUCUGACGCGGAUGCGCGAAAGCUAGGGGAGUGAACGGGAUUAGAAACCCGUGUAGUCC